RNAcentral lists this ribosomal RNA (305 nucleotides) under uncultured bacterium. RNAcentral describes it as "bacterial SSU rRNA". It matches the Rfam family "Bacterial small subunit ribosomal RNA", at positions 334 to 657 of the family's 1533-position model. The record is from RNAcentral.
CUGUCCUACGGAGGCAGCAGUGGGGGAUAUUGCACAAUGGGGGGAACCCUGAUGCAGCGACGCCGCGUGGGUGAAGAAGCGCCUCGGCGCGUAAAGCCAUGUCAGCAGGGAAGAAAAUGACGGUACCUGAAGAAGAAGCCCCGGCUAACUACGCGCCAGCAGCCGCGGUAAUACGUAGGGGGCAAGCGUUAUCCGGAUUUACUGGGUGUAAAGGGGGCGCAGACGGCGAUGCAAGCCAGGAGUGAAAGCCCGGGGCCCAACCCCGGGGCUGCGCUUGGACCUGCGUGGCUGGAGUGCAGGAGGGG